Molecule: long non-coding RNA, 37227 nt
Filed under: Phaseolus vulgaris (common bean)
Lineage: Eukaryota; Viridiplantae; Streptophyta; Magnoliopsida; Fabales; Fabaceae
Description: long non-coding RNA (PVUL_LNC001826)
Source: RNAcentral
UUAAAGCCAGUGGAAGACCUUUGGCGUAAUCUACAGCACGCACAGACACAUCUUCAAAACCUGUUUUAGGAUAACUUUGUUUGAAGGCAUUCCAACAAAAUAGCUCUAAAGAAUGUUGGUCAUCAAGUUCCUUCAUUUCAUACUUAAGUUUAACUUGGUGAGCAAUUAGCACAUUUUCUUCCCUUGUCGUUAUAAUGAUCCUACUACCUGGACCAAACCAAUUGCACUCUCCUGCCAACUUUUCUAACUGGUCUUUAUCACCAACGUCAUCAAGAACCAAAAGAACUUUCUUUUUCUGAAGCUUUUCUUUUAUUUCACCCAUUCCUUUAAUUGUACUUCCCAAUUUAGUUUCCAACUCCUCAAACAUAUCAGAUAAAAGUGUCUUUUGUAGAUCUUCCAUGCCAUUGAUUCUGUUUGAUUUUUCUCUAACAUCGGAAAGAAAACUUGCAGCAUCAAAGUUUUGCACAAUUUUGUUAUACAAAGCUUUGGCAAGUUCCGUUUUUCCAAUUCCACCAAGUCCAUAUAUGCCCAACAUUCUUACAGUUUUAUCUUCAGCCUUCUUGUCCAAAAGUGACUUAACUUCUUCUAUGCAAGCCUCAAGUCCAACAGGGUUUUGACCACUAUAUAAAGGUUUAGGAGUUAUAUAUUCAUGGACCUUUCCAACAAUUUCUUCAAUACGAUAGCUUUCAUCAUCCCUAUAAGAGUAGAAUGUAUUAAUUAUUUGUUUGAUAUCAUGAUUUUUAAUUUAUUGUACUAAAUGAUAAGCAUUGUGAUUAUUGUACUAGAUAGUAAGCAUUGAUAUUAAGAACCAGUAGCACAAAAGAAUAAUGAUCACACAUCAUACAAAAUUUACUGGAGAUGAAAAAGUUAGAACAAUUUUAUUCUAAGAAAAAUACCUAAAUAUAAUAUCAAAUUAAAAUAAAAAUGGAUUUUGUUUUCCACUUUGAAAUUUUUAUUAGUUUUUUAUCUUUUAAAUUAUUUUUUAUAAUGUUCAAAAUUAUUAUUUAUGACUAACAAAAUCAAUUAACACCCUGGAAAAAUCUAAAAUUUAAAUGCAUAGUCGACCAUUUAACAUUUUUUAUAAAUUAUUAUAAUUAAGAUGUAGAAUGUUAUAUAUAACAAACUACAUAUGAUAAAAACAAUAUUACAUAUCCCAUUAUAAUUAAGAUGUAUAAUAUUAUACAUAACAAACUACACGUGAUAAAAACAAUAUUACAUACCAUAAAGUAUAUUACUUGAAAAAAAAUAUUUUUUUGAAAAGUAAAGUCCUACAUAACACCAACUUACUUUUGGUGUUUAACCUUUUAUAAAAGGCUAUAGUUAUUUUUUAACUAAAAUAAUUUAUUUUUGGAUGAGAGAAAAAAUGUUUUCUUUUAAAGUUUUCUUACCAAUUGUAUUUUUUUAAUAUAUAAGAGAAUAACGUGGUAGUUAUUGAGAAAAUAUUGUUAGAAUGUAAGGUGUUGAAUAAACGUAAUUGAUGGUGGAAGUAAGAAACAAGCAAUGGACAAAAAGACAAUCUAGAAUCUCUAAGCUAGGUGUGAAAGAACCCACUAAAUGGAAGUGUAGAGGCUAGGUGAUAGAAGGUUGGAUGUAGUAGUAGUAAGGAGUUCAUGGAAGAAUAGUGGUGUUGGUGGAUGUGGUAUACUCACUACGAAAACAACAUAUUAUCGACGGUCAAAAUCCAUAAAUAAUAAAUAAGACCAAAAAUUUGUCGAUACCUAUGAAAGAGCAACAAGCCAAAUUUCACCAAUAAUAUGCUUGUCGGUGAGUUUACCAAGAGAAAAAAUUAUUUAAGUAAUUAUUAAUAUUAUCAAUUAUUAUUUUUAAAAUACUAUUUAUCAUUAACAAAUUAUAUUAUUAUUUUCAAUUAUUAGAACACAUUACCAUUCUGAUUUUUAUUAUUCUUAUUAUUAAUAAUAAUAUAAAUAAUAAUAAUAUAUUAAAAAAUAUUAAUACUGAUAACACUAUUAUUAAUAUCAAUACAAAUAAUAUUAUUAUUAAUAUCAAUACAAAUAAUAAUAUUAUUAAUACUAAUACUAAUAAUAUUAACAAUAAUAAUAUUAUUAUUAUCAUUAAUAUUAUUAUAAUUAAUUAAUAAUAAUAUUAUUAUUAUUAAUUUUAUUAAUAUUAACAUUAGUAUUAUUAGAACUAAUAUUAUUAUUCAUCUUAUUAAUAUUAUAAUUAUUAAUAUAAUAUUAAUAAUAAUAUUAUUUUAAUUAUUAUUAUUAUUAAUAUAUUUAAUUUCUGUAGUCAUUAUUAAUUUUAUUAAUAUUAAUAUUAUUAGUAUUAUAUUUAUUAAUAUAAAUCUAAUAAGAAUAAUAAUAAUAGUAUUGGUAAUAAUUACAAUAAUCAUAAUAAUUAAUAUUAUAAUAUUAUUAAUAAAAUUAAUAAUAAUUACUAACUAUGCGUUCAAAUCCUAGUUUCAAGAUAAUAAUAUUGUAAUACUUUUUUCAUGUAAUAAUACAUAAUUAUUAUGUCAAAUUGCAAUGCCUAACAUAAAAUUUUCUAUAAUUUUUUUUAAUAAUAAUACUAAGUUAAUAUUAAUAAAAUUAAUAAUAAUUAUAAUAAUAUUAAUGAUGAUAAUAAUAACAUGGAUAAUAACAAGAAUAUUAAUAUUAAUAAUUAUAAUAUUAGUAAUAUGAAUAAUAAUUAUAAUAAUAUUAUUAAUAUUAAUAGUACUAAUAUUAUUAAUAAAAUUAACAAUAAUUACAGUAAUAUUGAUAUUAUUAGUAAUAAUAAAUACAGUAUUAUUAUUAUUAUUAUCAUUAAGAAUAAUAAUAACCAUAAUAAAACAAAAAAAUGAUUUUGAUUUAGUGGUUAUCAGCUGAGUGAAUCUGGACUAAACUGUGUCUUGUAGCAAAACAAAUUUUUUAUCAAACACAAAUAUGCCGGUAAAUGCGUCAAUAAUGUCAUAUGUCGGUAUAAUUUGUUGGUAAUAAAAAAUAUUGCCAAACAUAAAUUCAUCGGUAAUUCAAUAUUUUUUUUAAUAGGUGAUUUUAAGAAACAAGUUAAAAAGACGGAACUAGGAUUUAUAAUUUUAAAACAAAGAGGUAUGAAAUCAAAACAAGUAAAUCACUGUAACUCAUAUAGGUGAUUUGGAUAAAAUGGGAUUACUAAGUAAUCUAAAUGAGAAAGGAAUGAUGAAAGGGAAGAGGUUAUUUAGUGAACUUAUACGCGCUGGUAACAUAUAAGUCCUUGGAAAAAUAAAAGUCUCGAUCAAAAUGGAUUUAAUUUGGAGACUCAAACUCUAGGUAUUUUCAUGUUGUUACGGAUUGAAAAAUAAAUAGGAAUGAGAUUAAAAAGGUGUUGAAAACCUAGGGUAGUGGAGUGCAAACCCUAUCAUUGUUAAAAGCAAGGUAAAAGAGUUAUUCUAUGAGAGGCUAAUGUAGAUUACUAAAUUCAAUGUUAGGUUAAGGAAAAUUCUCUUCUAUUUCUAUUGGUGAUAAUAUAGUCUUUAACAUGUGGGUUUACGAAACUAGAAAUUAAGAAAACACUAGGCAAUGUAAGACUGAUUAAAGUCUGUGAGAUAACUAUAAAUUUGGCUUUACAAAGAAAUUAUGGGAGGUUGUAAAAGUGGAAAUCAUACAAUCUACCCACUCUUUUCAAAUUAGUGGGAAUAUUAUAAGGGAUGCAAAGUCUCUUUCAUAACACUUACACUCACUUAUACCUAAGGUAGACAAUUCAGGUAGUUUACAUGAAUUCAAAAUUGGUCUCCUUAGUUAGGUGUAGGUAAAUUGAACUUCCAAUAAUUCUACUUGUCGGAAAUGAAUGAUAAGGGAAAUAGGAUGUAAAUGUGUAUGUGGGUAGAGAUUAUUUUGAAUAUAUAGAAUCAUAGGAAUAAAAUUAUUUUUAAGAAUGACAUCGUAUAUGCAAAAGAGAUAUUUCUUUUGGCACAGACAAAAGUAUGAGCUUGGACAAGGAAUAAAUCUCUUAAUCAACUUUUACAUAUUCUUAUUGGUGUAUAUAUGCCCAACAACUUGCAUAAAAACCUAUCUAAAUAAUAUGGUAUACUCACUCAAAUGAAUAUAUACGAUUGCUAAUUGUAAGUUAUUUUCAGUUUGAGUCUUAUGAAUGAAGCAAUAAAGAUUGAGAUUUCUUGAGUACCAUACACAUCAACGAAUUAAAACCUUAUGUAUGCCAUAUGUAAAAAAAACUAGACAUUAAAGAAGGAGUGACAAUGAUUAGUAUAGGUUUAUGGUAAAUUCUUGUGGAGGGUAGUGAAGUGUUAUUAAGAAAAUCCUUAGAUACUUUAAAGCAACAUUAUACAUUGUAUUAUGAAGGAUGAGAAUUAUAUUUCAGAGAGUUAUAUUAUAUAUGAUUAAUUAUCCCAUAAAAUACAUGAUUUUUUCUAAAUAUGGGAUGAAAAAGAAAUAAGAUUGAAUGGUUUGUUAUACAUACCCGGUGGCAAUAUGCUUCCCUGGGAAGUCAACUGCUUGAGACAAGGCUGACCUCCAAUCCUGAAUUCUCUGUGAUUCAUGUGCCUUCAUGUGUUUUCCGAAGCUAUUUCUUUCGUGCCGUAUAUCUGAGGGAUCUACAUGGUAAAACACUGGGUAAACAAGCUGCUUCUUCUCCUUCAUCUUGCUGCGUUCUAUGAUCUUAACAAGUUCAUCCAGACACCGUGUGGAAGAUGCAUAGUUCUCAGAAAACACAACGAUGAAAAUCUUAGAUUCUUCAAUGGCCUUCGACAGAUCAGGUGGAAGACUUUCCCCUGUCCUCAUAUUCUUAUCAUCAUUGAAACUUUUUAUUCCCUUCCCAUCUAACUCUCUACGCAGAUGCCCUAUAAAAUUGUUCCUUGUAUCUUCUCCUCUAAAACUGAUGAACACAUCAUAGGUGAAACCAAGACGCUCUUCUUCCUCACCAUGUUCUCCCAUGCUACAAACACACCAAAACUACACUAUGGAUUCUCAACUACUUUCAUCAAUUUAGUGUGUUCUGAUUAAAUACACUUUCUUACGCGGAUACACGCUUUCCUGUCUCACUGAAUUAAGCUUCUAAAUUAUAGGGGUUGACCAAGAAUAAGACGAUGGGGAUAUAAUUAUUACAACUACCAAACAUAAUGGCUCGAUCUUGAAAAUAAAGAUGAUGGGAACAGAAAUAAUUCACGUGGUGCAUAUUUAAUGUGGUUUAAAUUGUACAGAAUUGGAUUUCUGUGUAUAAAAAUAUAGCGUUCAGAUUCAUGUGUAUUCAAUUUAAUUUAUAGUAUUGUUUUUCUAUACAUUGAAAGUUAGGUAAAGGAUAAAAUAUUCUAGAACGAAUUUAUUAAGUUUAAAAAAAACAAUUUAUUUAUUUAUGUUUAUUAUAUAUCUUUAGGCAUUGUUUAGACUAAUUUUAAUAUGUUUAGUUUUUUUUUUAUUUAUUCAUAUAUAUGCUGAUGUUUAUUUGUUACACAUUAAUAGUUGUUUUGUAAUUUAUUUAGUUAUUUUUUAUUUAUAUAUAUAUAUAUAUAUAUUUUAUAUAUAAAAUAGUGUAAAAAAACUCAUCAAAUAAAUCAACAAAUCUUGGAGUGGGAUAGAAAACUUUUUCUAUGUUAAAUGACUUCGAAGAAGGCGAUAUGAUAGUUUUUGAAACAGAGGUUAAAAUACCAAACAAUGAAAUUCGAGUUAUUCACCUUUUAGGAUGAGUUUUUUUUUUUAUAUAUAACUUUUUAUUCUCACUUAAUUUUCUCAAAAUUUGUGUUAGUUUGUUGAUACUUAAACAAUUUAUAUAUUUAAGUGUAUUGUUUAUGUUUAUGCAUUGUUUAUAUUAAUUUUAUUAUGUUUAGUUAUUUAUUUAUUCGUAUAUGCUCAUGCUUAUUUCUUAUAUAUUAAUAUUUGCUUUCUAAUUUUUUUUUUAAUUUUCUUAUUUACAUUUACAUAUAUAUAUAUAUAUAAUUAUGUAAAUUAUUUUUUUUAAUACAAAAUAAUGAAAGAAUACGCGUCAAAUGAAUCAACAAAACUUGGAGCGGGAUGAAAGAAUUUUCUGUAAGUUAAAUGACUCAAAGAAGACGAUAAGAUUGUUUUUGAAGCAGAUAUUAACCUACCAAAUAAUGAAAUUUGAGUUAUUAGUCUUUUAGGAUGAAUUUUUUUUUUACAUAAUUGUUUAUUUUUACUAACUUUCCUCAAAAUUUGUCUCAAUUUUUUGGUACUUGAACAACUUAUUUAUUUACGUGUAUUGUUUAUGUUUAUGUAUUGUUUAUAUUAAUUUUAUUAUGUUUAGUUGUUUAUUUAUUUGUAUAUGCUUAUGUUUAUUUCUGACAUAUUAAUAUUUUCUUUCUAAUUUUUUUGCAUUUUCUUAAUUACAUUUAUAUAUAUAAUUAUAUAAAUUAUAUUUUUAUAUAGAAUAGUGAAAAAAACGCGUCAAAUUAAUCAACAAAAUUUGGAGUGGGAUUGAAGAAUUUGGAUAAGAUUAAAGGAUUUCAAAGAAUAAAAUAAGAUUGUUUAACCUACCAAAUAAUGAAAUUUGAGUUAUUAGUAUUUUAGGAUGAUUUUUAUUUUUUACAUUAUUGUUUAUUGUUACUGAAUUUCCUCAAAAUUCGUGUAAGUUUGUUGAUACUUAAAAAAAUUAUUUAUUUCUGUGUAUGGUUUAUGUUUAUGUAUUGUUUAUAUUAAUUUUAUUAUGUUUAGUUGUUUAUUUAUCUGUAUAUGCUCAUGUUUAUUUCUUAUAUAUUAAUAUUUGCUUUCUAAUUAUUAUUUUUAUUUUCUUAUUUACAUUUAUAUAUAUAAUUAUAUAAAUUAUAUUUUUAUACAGAAUAGUGAAAGAAAAUACAUCAAAUAAAUCAACAAAAUGAAAAAAUUUAUGUAAAUUAAACGACUUCAAAAAAGACGAUAAGAUUGCUUUUGGAGUAGAAGUACCUACCAAAUAAUGAAAUUCGAGUUAUUAGCCUUUUAGAAACACUACAAAAGAUAUUUAUUCAUUACACACUGAUUAUUACAUACGGAUUUAGAUCCGUAUAUAAUUAUGGAUUUAUAUACGGAUAUUACAUACGGAUAAAAAUCAGUCACUAAAUUGUUUAUACAUACUGAUUUUUCUGUAUGUAAAAGUAAAUAAAUUUUAUAAAAUAUAUCCGUAUAAAAAAUAUGUAUGUAACAAAGAACAUCUGUUGCAUACAGAUAUUUUAAAUUUAUUUAUUAAAAAAAUAAGUUUUAGAAGUUUUGUCAUUUUUUCACUAAAACCCCAACGUUUGCCCCCAAAACCCGUGUGCCCUAAUUCUAUCUUCAGAAGUGGAGUGUGUGAAGCUCAAUCUUGAAGCAAAGGUGAAGCUCCGUCCGACCUUCUGAAAAAUACAAAGGUGAGUUUGUUCUUUAUCCUAAUAUCUGUUUGCAUGAUGUAUUUUGUGCCAACGAAUGGUAUGAAAAAGGAAGGCAAUGGUGGACACAUGAAUGACACUGUUUGGAAACCAUGAGUGCUGGCCUCCUUAUCUCUUUCCUUUUCGCAACCUUACUCACUCUCUCAUCCCCUUUUCUAUGUCACUGCCUCUCCUUAUAUUGAUGAAGAGUGAGAAGAAAAAAAAGAGUAGGUGAAGGUAGGUGGUGGGAAGUUGGGAGAGAAAUGAGGGAGUAGUGGAGAUUUUGGAAAGAGUGGGAGCAGGUGUAAGAGAGGCAGCAGGUGCAGAGUAAGUGGCGUGGAGAGUGUGGGUCAAAUGUUAGUAAUAUUUGACUGUCCCCAAACCCACAUUAUGGGAGCUUCAUGUACCAAACCACCCACACUUUGGAACUUUUGCUCCGUAAGACCAUAAAGGACCAUCUAAGUGGAGAAAAACUUGAUCUCCUUUUAGUGGGAUUCUUUACUUACAAUUGAUUAAUUCUACAUUGAACUCAUCAUCAACACUUAGAUUUUUACUUUUUCAAUUACUUGUUCCUAUAAUAUUAUUAAUUCUAAUCUAUGACAUUGCUUUCACAGAAUAGAGUUUCAUCUAAUUUCUUUGAAGGUUGUGUUUGUCCUAUCCCAUGUUUAUGCCUAUAAUAUUGCAUGUAUUGUUACUUACUUUUUACACAUAUAGACUUUGAGGAGCCAUGUUAAAUUUUCCAUUCUGUUAAAAUACCCGUGUUUUUUUGUUGCUCAUUUGCUUUUAUCAAACAAAACCAAUCCUUGGUCAUUCAUUAUAUGGAGGACAUAUAAGUUUUUGUUUUUUGUCUUUGGUCUUGAUAGAUGCUUUGUUUGAUUGUUAAUUUAUGCUAAGGAAAAUGAGAAAACAAUGGACAUUGAAUAGUAAUUGGAGGAGUUGGUGUUAAUGCAUGAUGCAGCUUUUGCAGAGAAUCUAAGGUCCAUCUGUGUGGGUGGAUAAGUGGGAAUUAGCACGCAGAGAACCUAACUAGUGUUCAUGGACAUCACUUUUAAACAAAGCACCCACAUGCCUCUUCUGUGAGACUACCACGUUUCCAUAUUGCAAGUCAUGUCCUUAUUUGGAAAGCUAAUCCAAAUACGUGUAAUCUCCUCGAAUAUGAAAGGGCAUAGACCAUAUUCUCUUUAAGCUAAAUACCUUUUUCCUUCCACAAGGGCCUAGGGCAGUUUCUUUGAAGCACCUUUUAGAGAUAACUCUAUUUAAUAUAUACAACAUCAUUGGUAGAAGAAGUACUUAUAAUUAGUGAAUCUAUAACUGCAAAAAGAUAAUAAUGUGGAUUAAACCCCUUGGAUUACCUAAUCUUGCCACUAUAUGUGGAUGAAGCACUCAUUCACUUUUCUAAGAGUAAAUUUAAUUCAAUGGAAAAUAGAACAAUUAUCACAAAACACAUAUUAUCACAAACACACAUGAAAUUACUUAUUAUCAUUAUACUACAUAAAGUUCAAAAUAACUUCAAUUCUAAACUACUCACCAAGAUUUUUACAAAAACGAAUGUGUUACAAACACAAUACACACUACAAGAAAACAGCCAAAUAGCUUCCAAAUUUCUGUGUGGGCCAUUUUCGGACGCUACUAUCGUCGGCCAAAAUGAGGAGAAACCCACGCAAAAAUGGCAAUGGAUGCAAAACGGACGCACUUAUGGAUUUAAUGUUUUUUUUUAAAACAAUCUAGUUUGCGUCGGCCCAGGCCCACGCAUAUGCGUCAGCAUGCGUCCCACGCAUAUGCGUCGGCCACGGCCCACGCAUAUGCGUCCGUCACAACCCACGCAAAGCCCACGCAUGUUUAUAUUUUAGGAUUUUAAAAUUAUUUAAUGUAUAACAAAUAUUUUAAUAUUUAAUUCUUUAUUUUAUUUAUUUUAAAAUUAUUUCUUUAAUAUUAUAAUAAAUUAUUUAAUUUAUCAAAUUUUAAUAUAAAUUAGUUAAAUUAAAAUUAUUAAAUUAAUUAAGCGUUUGAUUUAAAAUUAAUUUAGUAAAAGAAAAGAUCUAUUUAAAUUAUUUAAAUGUUAUAUAAAAUAUUUUAUUAUUUUAAAAAUUAUUUAUUUUAAACUUAUUUUAUUUAUAUAUUGUCAUAAAUAUAUAUUUUUUAAAUUAUGAUAUAAAUUAGUUAAAUUAAAUUUAUUAAAUUGAGGAAGUGUUUAAUUUUGAAAUUAUUUAAAUGAAGUUAUCUUAAAAAGUUUAUAAAGAUUUGAAAACAUGUAGAAAAAUAAUAAUUAAUUAAAAAAUAGUAAAAGAAAAGUAAAAAAAAAUGCGUAUUUAAAUUUUGUAAAUAUUAUAUAAAAUAUACAUAAAUUUAAGAAUAUAAAUUCAAGAUGAAGUAAUUAAUUAGUGCAAAUGGUAAUGGAUGUAUUUAAAAAUAGAGAAUAAAUUUUAUCUAAAAAUGUUUUAUUUGGUUUAAGAAAAAAAAGUUGGAUAAAACUUUUAAUUAGUAAUAUAACUUAAAUAAAUUUAAAUGUUAUAUGUGUGCAAUGGCUAAAUGAACUAGGAUUUUUUGUUUUGAUAUCCAUUAUAAUUUUAAAGAUGUUAUUUCUCAUAAAUGAAGCAUAAAAUCAUCUUAAAGAAUUAGCGAAAAUGUAUAUGAUACAAACAUAUUAAGACUAAGUGCGUGAGUAAGUAACUUAUUCUUAAUUCUUAAAUUAAUACAAUAUCCAAAGUGUUUCAAAGUUGACUAUAUGCUCUAUAAAUGUCAUUGUUAUAGUUACUAAGUAUGAUCUCUAAAAGAAAUUAAUGUUUUCCAACUGAAGCACAAAAUAAUGUAGUAAGUUGUAAGUAACGAGAUGACACAUAUGCAAUAUUCUUUAUAAGUGUGUUAAUAUAGUUUCCCAAUGUUCGCCUGAUAGCGAGAGUCGAGGGAGAAGCACGAAGACGAGAAGUACCCCAGUCAAGCACCCAACAACCUGCCCGACUGAGGGAAGAAGACGAAAACUUCAAUAGUUCUCUAGGUCCCAUCUCCCCAGCAGAAACAAAUUAAUAACCCUAGUCCAUUGUCAAGGUAAGAGUUAAACUAAGAAGUGCAUUAUAAAGGCUGAAAGAGAGUAUCAUAAGCAAUUUGAGAAAUAUGAGUCAUUUCGUGAUAGUUAUAGAAUUAACUUAGAAUCAUGGAAUAUAGUUGAUUAUUAGAUUUUGGAUUAUAAGUUAGAAAGGAUUAUAAGUUAGAUUUAACCACUAAACCAAGCAAAUUCUUUAGUAUUAUUAUAAUUUUAAUUAUACUUAUUAUUAUUAACAAUAUUAAUAAUAUUAACAAUAUUAUUAAUAUUAACAAUAUUAAUAAUAUUAAUUUUAAUAAUAUGAAUAUUAUUAAUAUUAAUACUAAUAAUAUUAAUAAUAUGUAUAAUAAUAUUAAUAAUAUUUAUAAUUAUAUUAAUAAUAUUUAUAAUUAUAUUAAUAAUAUUUAUAAUUAUAUUAAUAAUAUUUAUAAUUAUAUUAAUAAUAUUUAUAAUUAUAUUAAUAAUAUUUAUAAUUAUAUUAAUAAUAAUAUGACCAAAGAAUUUGUCUGGUCUAGUGGUUAAUGCUUCCCUAGUUACUGGAAGGACUUGAGUUUCGUGGCGUCAGAACCCAGAUUCUGCAUGUUGUGUCCGUUUUUUGCUUCCACGCUAAGUAUAUUUUUUUUUAUCUUUCUUUAGGUUGAUUGACUUGGUUCAUAAGAAUUAACAACAGAUCGAUUCUCAAAAUUGAAGGUGAAUGGAAUUUAAUCUUCAUUUUGGCAUAUUUUUAGUAUUAUAGUAAUUUGUAGCUAACUUGUUCACCCUGUUAUUAACAUGGACACUUCAAAUUUGUCUGUUGCAUUGAUUUAUAAUACUAGAACUUUGCUAGUUUGUAUAAUUGUAAAUGGUAUGAAAAGAAAACAUGAUAGGUACUGAAUCGUGAGACUACAUAAUACUGGUGUGAGACUGUAAAAUACUGUGUAUUUAUACUGUUGUAAUUUUGACUGGUGUAUACUGCUGUGUAUUGAAGUUUCUUGACUCUUUUGAGAAUAUAAAAAAGGCUCUCAAAGUUUAUUGUGGAGUUUUGCAUCUGAUCCAUGAUAACAAUUGCUCCCUCUAUCGAAUCCCUUUAUUUUCAUGAAAAAAAAAAUAAAAUAAAAAAAAUGAAAGUCUGUAAAUUUUGCAUUAGGUUUUCAACCUAUGCUAUAUAUGGACCUCUUUAUUGCAUUAUGGUGUGUGUAUGUUUAACUAAAUAAAAGAAUAAAAUAAAUCUUUACAAGGAACUGCAUAUUAAAUGUUGUUGGCAUGAACUUCUUUAGGUUUUUUGCUUUAAAGAAACUACAAUAAUAAAGCCAAGUAUAAUUUUUUUUAAUCUUCCUAGGUUGAUUGACUUGGUUCAUCAGUUGUUGGAUGAUCAGUUCUUCAUUUUGACAUAUUUUUAGUAUAGUAGUUAAUUUGUUUACCACCCCGGUUGUUAAUAUGGUCACUUUUAAUUUUAUCUGUAAUACAUUAUUUCUUUACUAGUUUGUAUAAUUGUAAAUAGUAUAAUUAAAGUUUUGCAUUAUGGUGUGUAAGGUUAUCUAAAUAAAGGAAUAAAAUAAAUUUAAAAUCUGACCACAGUUACAUACGGAUAUAUCUGUAUGUAAAUCUGAACACAGUUACAUAUAUUUGUAUGUAAAUCUGAACACAGUUACAUACAAAUAUAUCUGUAUGUAAGUCUGAUCACAGUUACAUACGGAUUUAUCCGUAUAUAACAAUUACCUACGAUAAUUUUAUAUACGAAUUUUUGUCCGUAUGUAACUAUGUUUUAUAUACAAAUUUAUUGAGUUACAUACGGAUUUGAGUUGUAUGUAAUACCAACUUUUCUUGUAGUGGAAGAAUCUCUUCUUUUACACAGUUGUUUAUUGUUACUGACUUUCCUUAAAAUUUAAGACAGUUUGUUGAUACUUGAACAAUUUAUUUAUUUACAGGUAUUGUUUAUGUUUAUGCGUUGUUUAUAUUAAUUUUAUUAUGUUUAGUUGUCUAUUUAAUCAAAUAUGCUCAUCUUUAUAUCUUAUAUAUUAAUAUUUGUUUUCUAAUUUUUUUAUUUUCUUAUUUACAUUUACAUUUAUAUAUAUAUAUAUAAUUAUAUAAAUUAUAUUUUUAUACAGAAAAGUGAAAGAAAACAAGCCAAAUAAAUUAACAAAACUUGGAAUGGAAUUGAAGAUUUUUUGUAUGUUAGAUUACUUCAAAGAAGACGAUAUGAUUGUUUUUGAAGCAGAGACUAACAUACCAAAUAAUGAAAUUCGAGUUAUUUUGCUUUAGGAUGAGCCAUUUUUUUACACAAUUGUUUAUUGUUACUUACUUUUCUCAAAAUUUGUGUCAGAUUGUUGAUACUUGAACAAUUUAUUUAUUUAUGUAUAUUAUUUGUGUUUAUGCAUUGUUUAUAUUAACUUUAGUAUGUUUAGUUUUUUUAUUUAUUGGCAUUUGCUGAUGUUUAUUUCUUAUAUAUUAAUAUUUGUUGUAUAAUUUUUUUUUCUCAUUUACAUUUACAUUUAUAUAUAUAAUUAUAUAAAUUGUAUUUUUAUACAAAAUAGUAAAUCAAAACGUGUCAAAUUAAUCAACAAAACAUGAUGCGCGAUGAAAGAAUUUGUGUAGGUUAAAUGAUUUCAAAGAAGACAAUAAGAUUAUUUUUGAAACAAAGGUUAACAUACUUAUAAUGAAAUUCGAGUUAUUCGACUUUUAGGAUGAGUCCUUUUUUACACAUAUGUUUAUUAUUACUUACUUUCCUAAAAAUUUGUGAGUUUGUUGAUACUUGAAGAAGUUAUCUAUUUACCUAUAUUAUUUAUCUUAAUGCAUUGUUUAUAUUAAUUUUAAUAUGUUUAUUUUUAUAUGCUAAUGUUUAUUUCUUAUAUAUUAAUAUUUGAUUUUUAAUUUUUUAUUUAGUUUCUUAUUUACAUUUAAAUUUAUAUAUAUAUAUAUAUAUUUAAUUAUAUAAAUUAUAUUUUUAUUCUAAACAAUGAAGAAAACGCACCAAAAAAAUCAACAAAACUUAGAAUGGGAUGUAAGAAUUUAUGUAUGUUAAAUGACUUUAAAGAAGACAAUAUAAUUAUUUUUUAAGCAAAUGUUAACAUACCAAAUAAUAAAAUUUGAUUUAUUCGUCUUUUAGGAUACAUCAUUUUUUACACAACUCUUUACUAUUACUUACUUUUCUCAAAAUUUGUGUCAGAUUAAUACUUGAAUAAUUUUAGUUACGUGCAUGAUUAUUUUUAAUGUAUUAUUUAUAUUAAUUUUUAUGAUAUUUAGUUUAUUUAUUUAUUAGAAUAUGUUUAUGUUGGUUUCUUAUAUAUUAAUAUUUGGUUUUUAAUUUUUUUAUUUUGCGUCUCUUUAUGUGUUUUAAAUUAUUAAUUAUUGUAAAAUUUAUUUUACUUUAUUUUUUAAUAUAUUGAUCUUAUCUAUUAUUAGUUUAUUAGUUUAUGUAAUUGUUAAUUAAUGUAAUUUUGACUUAUAAAUUAUGAUAGAACUCAUAUUAAGUUUCAGAAUGUCAAAAUUAAUAUUUUACGUUUUAGAAAAUCAAAUUUAAUUUAAUGUAAUAUAUGAAUUAAUUUUUCUAAAUUUAUUUAAUAUUAUAAUAUUAUUAUUUAAAUAUGAAAGUUUAGAAAAAAUAACCGUUUGUUGCACGGUCAAAGUUCUAGUAGAAAUACAAAUAGAGGGGCACGUGACGUCUCCUUUUGAUUACAGCUAAAUCCAGAAAUCUUUGAAGGGUCCCGGAAAAUGAUUCUUUCAUACUUCACCAGAUUCUUAACUGCUUUUCUAACGCACUCCAUAUGCCAUAAAGUGACACAAUAAUGUAAUCACCUUCCUUAUUAUCAUUUCAUUUAAUACAGUUUCUUACGCUGAUACAAGAUGGGGAUAUAGUUAUUACAACUACCAAACAUGAUGGCCCGAUCUAGAAAAUAAAGAUGAUGGGAACAUAAAUAUUUCACGUGGUGCAUAUUUAAUGUGGUUUAUAUUGUACGGAUUUGGAUUACUCUGCAUAAAAAUAUAGCAUUCUUAUUCAUGUGUAUUGAAUUCGAUUACAGUCUCUAAAAUUUUAAAAUCACCGACUCUCAAUUAAAUAACUAAGUUUAUUUUAUCUAUUAUAUUUAAGAUAACAGCUUUGACAUUUUUAAAUCUAAAACAUUUAAUUAACUCAAGAAUAUGUAAAUUUUUAAUUAGUAUAUUUUUUUAUGUAUUUUUUUAUAUAUAUUAAAAUCUAUACUAUAUUACUAGAACUAACUGAAAUGAAAUGGCGAAGAGACUCAACAGUAAAAAAAACUUGAAGAUGGUAAAUUGUUCAACUUAAAGCCAAAUUUUCCGAAAUGGCUGAAAAUAGAGACGAUACCCUUGGUAAUUUUUUACCAUGAUGGAGUUAUUUUUUCUUUUUUUACUAAAAUGGGGUCCGUUUUAAAAAAAUUACAAAUUUAGGCAAGUCGUGCCAAUUUGGUACGACUUCAUAUGCAGAAGUCGUCCCAAUUAGGUACGACUUUUGUCAUGUCAUACUAAAGUCGUGCCACUUGGCACGACUUCUGCCCUGUCAUACUAAAGUUGUGUCAACUUGGUACGACUUCUGCCUUGUCAUACUGAAGUCGUGCCCUAUCACUUCAUUCUCCACACCAUCAAAUUCCUUACACGUAUAACUUUUUACCUUCUCCUUCAGGUACUUUUUCCACUCCACCAAAUAUAUUUGGAACUUUGGCAUUCACCCCUCUUUCUGCAUAUAAUCCAACAUCAUUCAUGCACUAUCGACCCACAAUGCCCUCACCAACAUCUCAUAAUGAAGGCAAUAACAACGAUGAUGAACAUGUCGUUGAUGAUCCUCUUCCACGAAGACCUCGACAACAAAUACGAAGACCACAUUGUGUCACGUCUUCCCAUAAAUAAUUUACUUCUAGUUCAACUUUAUAGUUUUAUUUUAUAUCUUGUAAUGAAUCUUACUAAUUUGUUUAGUUCUAAUUAAUCUCUUCUCAUCAUUACGUGUUCUGUAAAAUCAUUAUUUCUCAAGCUAUUUAUUUUGCAAAUUCACAACAAUAAUUCUCUAUUUAUUUUCCAAAUACAAUAAAUUUUCAUUUAUGUAUUUAUUUCCAAAUUUAAUAACAAUUUUCUUCAUUUUUUAAUUAAUCAAAUAAUCAAGUUAUUGUAUUACAUUACCGUCAAACAUGAUUCAUACACGAUUAUCCCAUUUUUUGUUCCUUAAAACUAACACUCUUAGAAAAUUAUGUAUCAAAUUAAUUUUUAACAUUACAUAACUUACUACCCAAUAUAUAAAUAAUAAAAUUAAAAAAAAUUAUGACGUGGCAGAAGUCGUGCCAAGUUGGCACGACUUCAGUAUAACAUGGUUGAAGUCGUGCCAAGUUGACACGACUUUAGUAUGACAUGGCAGAAGUCGUGCCUAAUUAGGACGACUUCUGCAUAUGAAAUCGUACCGAAUUGACACAAUUUGCCUAAAUUUGUAAUUUUUUUUAAACGGACCCCAUUUUGGUAAAAACAAAAAAAAAAAUAACCCCAUCAUGGUCAAAAAACCUCAAAGGAUAACGUCAAGUUAAAUAUGUAAUAUGUAUGUAUGUCCUAACAUAUCCAACUCUCUUUUUAUUCGACCAUUUUUAUGUUAUGUAAUACAUUUAUUGUAUGUUGUAUCUCACCAAUCCUUCUGAAAAUUCUAUUGUGGUGUAAGAUUCGGUUUUCGUGCCUCUGACAUUGCCAUGCUUACUAAGUUAUCCUUCAUAAUUUGUCACAAUAUUGCUACUUAUCAAAGGAAAAGUUAUUUGAGCAAAAUACUUACUACUACAUGUCCUGUCUUUGAACUACUUUGAAUUUUUCAUAAACAACAACCUAACCAAACACGAUGCUUUAUAUCCUAUGUACUAUUUAUUUUUCUCAUUUUUAAAUAUAUCCCCUCUCUCACAUGCAUGAACUGACAGGUAUGUCAGGUGUAUUUUGAGGAGAACAAUUCAUCAGUAUCUUUGAUUGGAAGUCCGUUUAACAAAUGGGAUGACGCUUCGGAGGAAGAAUCGAAAGCCCAAAUAGAAGAUAGUGUUGGUGAAGGUUUUUCAGACUCCGAUUACUCAGAACAUGGUGGUAGGCAAGAAGAGAGAAGAGGAGAGGAGAUCGUUCAAUUUCCGACGGAAAAGAAGAGUUUCCAAAAGACGACGCAUGUAAUAGUGGGGGAAUUAAUUCUGUUGGGAAGAGCCAAAAUGUCACGUUGGAAAUGAGGAAAGAGAAAAUUUUUGUAUGGAAAACGUGUAAACCUAAUAAUUUUAUUACAAAAUAGAACAUAGAUAAAUAAAAGAGAACAAAAGAUGAACAAAAGAGUAAAAGGAAGGUAAAAAAUAUGAGAAUGAAUAUCUUUCUUUUCUUGUUAUUGAAAUCAAAACAAAUGGUCUGAAUAUAUACAAGUAGUACACUCAUUCUAGGUUUAACUAAAGAUGAAAAGAAUCAAUAAUUAAAUACUAGAAUCAUAACAAACAAAGACAAAAUAAAGGUUAUUCACCUCUAUAAAGAGAAACAACUGAUAAUUAGAAAAGAUACCCAAUUAAUAUUAAGAUUCUUCUAUAACUCUGGUAUCCGUAUCCUUUAAUACCCCGUCACAAGCUGGGGAGCAAAUAUUGAUGAGACCCAGCUUGGAACAAAUAUUCUUAAAAGAUUGAGGACUUAAAGCUUUGGUAUAAAUAUCAGCCAGUUGCUCUGUGGUGGAAAUGAGAAGCAAAUGAAUGAGACCCUUCUUUAAUUUUUCCCGGACCACGUGACAAUCUAUUUCUAUAUGUUUCGUACGCUCGUGAAACACUGGAUUUGCUGCAAUGUAUCUUGCUGAGUCAUUGUCACAGUAUAAAAGAGAUGGUUGCUCAAAAGGAACUUUGAAAUCUUGAAAAAGAUAAGUUAGCCAUUGAAUUUCACAUGUAACAGUGGUCAUUGCCUUGUAUUCAGCUUCACAAGAACUCUUUGAUAUUGUUCCUUGCUUCUUUGAUUUCCAAGAUAUGAGAGAAUUCCCAAGAUACACACUAAAACCAGUCACUGAUUGUCUUGAAUCACUACAGGUGCCCCAAUCACUAUCACAAAAGGCUUUCAGAUGAACAGAGGUAGUGGAAGAGAAAAAUAGACCAAGACUUGGAGCCCUUUGAUAUAUCUGAGAAUUCUAAUCGCUGCAUUAUAGUGAGCAAUUGUAGGCUUAGCAAGAAACUAAAAAGUUGUUGUACAAAAUUUUUUAUGUCAGGUCGGGUAUUAGUGAGAUACAUAAGUUUUCCAAUCAAUCUUCUGUAGGUUUGAAUAUAUGUGAAAGGAACACUUCCAGUAGAAGAGAAUUUCUCAUGAUUAUCAAUAGGAGUGGGUGUAGGUUUGCAGGCUAAAAGACCUGCAUAUGUUAAUAAUUCUAAUGCAUAUUUCCUUUGAUUUACCAUUAUUCCUGUCUUACCUUUUGCUACUUCUAGACCAAGAAAAUAUCUUAAAUUCCCAAGAUCUUUAAUCUUGAAUGUCUGAUUCAUGGCUUGUUUGAUUCGAGCAAUCUCUUCUUUAUCAUUUCCUGUCAAUAUUAUAUCAUCCACAUAUACCAAUAAUGCUGUAAAAGAUCCUUCAGAAUAAUUAAUGAACAAGGAAUGAUCAUUCAUAGAUUGAGUAUAUCCCAUAGAAAGCAAAAAUGAUGACAGUUUGGCAAAACCAUUAUCUACUGACUUGCUUAAGGCCAUGUAAAGCCUUUUUUAGUUUACAAACUUUUCCUGGUGGAAUAAAAGUCAUUCCAAGAGGAGCAACCAUGUAUACAUUUUCUUUUUCAAAUCUCCAUGUAAAAAGACAUUUUUAUGUCUAAUUGUUUCAAUUCCCAAUUAUAAAUAGAAGCUAAAGAAAGAAGCAACCUUAUGGUGGUCAUCUUUGCUACUGGAGAGAAAGUAUCAAGGUAGUCAAUGCCUUCUGUUUGUGUAUAUCCCUUUGCCACUAACCUUGCUUUAUACCUUUCAAUUGUCCCAUCAGCCUUAUAUUUUAUUUUGAAUACUCAUUUGCAACCUAUGGCACCUUUAUUCUUAGGCAGAAGAGCAGUCUCCCAAGUUUGAUUUGACUAUAAAGCAGAUAUCUCACAUUGUAUAACUUUUCUCCAACAUUCAUGUUUCACAGCUUCAUAAUAAGUGUUUGGCUCAACAUGUGAAGAAAGAGACAUAACAAAAGAUUUAUAAGGAGGUGAUAAAUUGCUAUAAGACAAAACAGAAUUAAAAGGAUAUUUAACUCUUGAAGAUGCACUGGAAACAUUAAGAUUACAAUGAUAAUCAAUACUCAGGUGGUCUUUUUAUUCUUGUGCUCAUUCGGAAAGAUGGAUCUGAUUUAGAACUUUGUUCUAUAUCAUGAUUUUCAUUGAGGUUUUGAUCUAUGUGGGAACAAUCUUCUUCUGAAACAUCAAUUUCUGACUCACAAUUAUUAUCACUGCUAUUUUCAACAUUAUCACAAGGUGUAUUAUCACAAGGUGCAAGAAUGGCUUGUGAUGACUGAUAUAAGACAGAUUGAUCUUCAGCAAACAAAAUUUGAUCAUUAAUGUCAGAACUGUUAGUUUCAUUGCUAGUAUCUUGAAUCCUUUGGUAUGGAAAAACAUGUUCAUAAAAGACAACAUCCCUAGACACAAAUUUCUCUUGAUUGAAUAUUCAACAAAAUAUAUCAUUUUGUCCCCCUUUGAAAACCAAUAAAAACACAUUUUGAUGCUCUUGGAUCAAAUUUUCUUCUAUUUGUUGACAAAGUGCUAGCAUAACAUAAAGAACCAAACACCUUUAAUCCAUUAAAAUUUGCAUCAGUUUUGAAAAGCAUUUCAUGAGGAGAAGAAUAGUUUAAAACAGGUGUGGAAAGCAUGUUUAUAAUAUGUGCAACAUGUAUCACAGAAUAUGACCAAUAAAUUUUGGGUAAAUGAGAUUGUAUCAUAAGAGCUCUUGCUACAUCUAAUAAAUGAUCAUGUUUCCUUUCAACUAUACUAUUUUUGUUGUGGAGUAUUGACACAUGAUGUUUGAUGUAUUAUUCCUUUACUGNNNNNNNNNNNNNNNNNNNNNNNNNNNNNNNNNNNNNNNNNNNNNNNNNNNNNNNNNNNNNNNNNNNNNNNNNNNNNNNNNNNNNNNNNNNNNNNNNNNNNNNNNNNNNNNNNNNCAGAUUUUUGUUUCAAAAGAAAAAUCCAUGUGUACCUCGAAUAGUCAUCAACUAUGGUCAAGAAAUAUUUAUGACCAUGAAUUGAUGGUAUUGAGUAUGGUCCCCAAAUAUCUACAUGAAUCAAAUCAAAACAUUUUUUUUUGCGAUUUAGAUGUACUAAUAGGAAAAGAAAGUAUUUUUUGCUUUGCAAAAUGACAAACAUCACAAACAAAAGAUUUGUUAUAUUUAACAUAAGGAAAUUUAUUCUUGAUAACAUUAAUACAUUUAUUUGAAAUAUGACCUAAUCGAAAAUGCCAAAGGGUUUCUAGAUCACUAGCACUAACAUUAACAGUAUUGAUGAUGUGUGUACAUUCAAGGGGUUUAAUUUGAAAUUUCCGGUGAGAUGGGAUCCUGAGUAUAUAAAGUCUAUCUUGCAUCUGAGCAGAACCAAUUAUUUUCAAGGAGUUUUUGUCUUGAAUGUGACAACCAUUAGAAUCAAAGGUAAGAACACAAGAUAGUCUAUCAAUCAGUUUUGUUACUAAAAGAAGAUUAAAAGUGAAGCAAGGAAUAUACAAAACAUUGUUUAUGACAUGAUCUUGAUUGAGAAAAACACUUCCAGAAUAAUUGGCAAUGACUUGGUUUCCAUUUGGUAAUUUGACAUAAAAAGGAUCAAUUUGAUGAUACGAAGUGAAGUAAGUUAAGGAUGAACAAAUGUGAUCAGUAGCACCACUAUCAAUAAUCCAAGAACUAAAAGAAGAAAUAAAGUUAUUACCAGUUUGUGUUGUCAUGAUGGAAGGAAUAACAAAGACUUGACUAGAAACAUUGUCACUGGAUUUGACCUGUUGUAAAAGAGCUAACAAUGUUUGAUACUGCUCAGGAGUAAAACCAAUUUGUUGAGACUCCACUUCUAACUUUGAACCUUCAUGAUUUUGCUCAUUAUUGUUAAAAUUUGUAUUGUGAAAGGCUGCAUGACUCUGAUGAUGGUUUUGAUUUUUAAAUUUGAAAUGAGGUGGAAAACCACGCUUUUUAUAGCAUGUAUCAAUGGUAUGCCCUGUCUUUCCACAAUAAAUGCAAAUUUUGGAAGUAUAUCCUCCUCCAUAGUUUCCUCUUCCAUAUCCACCACCCAUGCCAUAGGUCGUAGCAUUGUUAUUAUAACCUCCUUUGCUACUAGCAAUCAUUGCCUUGGAUUGAUCACCAAAAACUUGCCUCUAUUGUUGUGUAAUGAGAGAGUAAACUCUAUUCAAGGAUGAAUUAUCUUAUGAACUAACAUGGUAAGGUGAACAAAGAUCUUGUGAGGGAUCAACAACUUCACCCAUAGAUAAAUGUAGCAACCAAAGCUCUAAUCAGAGCUCUCUUUUCUUGUUAUUGAAAUCAAAACAAAUGGUUGAAUAUAUACAAGUAGUAUACUCAUUCUAGGUUUAACUAAAGAUGAAAAUAAUCAAUAAUUAAAUACUAGAAUCAGAACACACAAAGACAAAAUAAAGGUUAUUCACCUCUAUAAAGAGAAACAACUGAUAAUUAGAAAAGACAAUUAUUCUCCUCUAUAAAGAGAAACAAUUGAUAAUUAGAAAAGAUACCCAAUUAAUAUUAGGAUCCUUCUAUAACUCUGGUAUCUGUAUCCUUUAAUACAUUUCUUGGCAGAAAUUAAGUGCAAAAAGACUAAUGAUAGAGUAUGAGCAGAUGUCCUAAUUUGUAGUGGGUUGGUUUAGGCCUAACUGAAUGCAUACAGUUGGGUUAGGGAAACCCUAAUUUAUGACACAAUUGCUGACAUGGACUCACAACUAGAAAUUGUUAGACAAGGAGGAGCGACGAACUGGGUGGGAGACGACGCGGUUCCCCCUACGUCGCUGACGGUGGCUUACGACACUGGUUUCGAGGGCCUCGACAUCGACGAAGCCGACGCGGCUUCUCUUGCGCCGCCGGUAGCGGCUAAUGUAAUUGGUAUUGAGGAUCCCAACGCUGGUUAUACCUUGAAGUUGUCGGAGGCAGGCAGUGAGGGGCAACGAUUAUUGAUGGCGGUUGUCGAAGAUGCUAGAACAAUGAAGGAGGCAGGCGAUGGUGCAAUUAGUGACGGCCGUGGCGCGACUGUAGUGGCGAGCAAUGGCGAGAUUGGUGCUAGCAAUGACACGACUUCAGUGGUUGGAGAUGGCGCGACUAUAGUGUUUGGCAAUGGUGUCGGCGCGUCUGUAGGGGCGGAGCAGCGUGCGGCAGCGGCUGACGCUGUUAUGUAUGAUAGUUCCGGCAUGGGGCGCGGCAGUGGAGAGGAGGUGAGCGACGAAUGUGUGGUGGUAGUGGUGGCAAGGGUUACACAUGUUGAGGGAGAAGAAGGUGGGUUUGAUGACGAAAACAAAGGAUCUUUGGGGUGUGAGGCAAUCAGAGAAACAACAAGCGUGAUGGAGAGGAUGGGGUUAGUAUGGAGUAGAGAGGAUGAUGGAGCUGCAAAGACGUCCACUCAUAGGGGCACGAUAAGGGAGACUGAGACUUUUUUUUGCAAGUCACCCAGUGGGGAGGAUGAUGGCUAGUUUUGGCGGAAGGGUGGACGAUUUGCCUAAAUCGAGAGACGAAAGCUCACCGAGGAUUGAAAGGUUAUCUAUGUCAGAUUCACUAAAAUGCUUAAGAUCAGAAAUCAUUAUCUUAGACAAAGAUGCCAGAAAAUACAGUAGAAUGCUUUGGUUAAAAGAUGAGCAGGGCGAAGCUAGGAAGAGAUGGAAAGUUGGUAAGGAGAUGAGUUUCACACUGUUAAGUGAAGAAAAUGUGGUAUUAAAUAGGCUUAGCAGUUUGGAGAAUCGGGAUUGCAGGAAUUUGGAGAUGGAGAUUAAUGUUUUUUAUGAUGAGUCUAAUUAGUUUGAAUAUAAGAGGAGUAAGAGGAAAUAUAAAAAGAACAUACGUAAGAGAAUUAAUUAGAAAAGAGGAGGUUAGAAUGGUUUGUUUACAGGAAACAAAGUCCUUAGUGCUCAGUAAGAACAAUUGCUUUUAUAUGUGAGGUUCAAAUGAAAUUGAUUGGGUGGAGAAUGGUGCAGUAAAUAAUGUUGGUGGAAUCAUUACUAUGUGGAGAAGAAGUAGUUUUAAUAAGACAAGUUUUUUAAAUGGGAAAUGUUACUCUAUCAUCGAAGGAGUUUGGAAAGUAGGAGACGGGAUACACAUUACGAUAGUAAAUGUGUACAGUUCCAGCUCGUUGAAAGAAAGGAAGGAGGUUUGGGAUGAGUUACGAGAAAUCAGGAAGAACCAACAAAACAAGGUAUGGUGUGUUGUCGGGGAUUUUAAUUCAAUCAGAAGAAAAGAUGAGAGAAAAAGCGUAGUCUCAACAUCAGAUUAUAGUAGAGAGAUCAGGGAUUUUAAUGAUUUCAUUGAAAACACGGAGUUAUUGGAUAUUCCAAUGGUCGAAAAAAAGUUUACUUGGUAAAAGCCAAAUGGGACGGUCAAUAGCAGAAUUGACAGAAUUCUUGUCUCACCAGAAAGGUCUUUGAUCAUUGUGCUUUAGUUCUAAAAGUUUUAUCGGUGGAUUGGGGGCCUAAACCUUUCAGGAGUCUGGAUGUGUGGCAAAGGGAUAGUGGGUUCCUGGAUUUUGUUCGCAGUAAAUGGCAGAGCUAUGAGGUGUUUUGUGGAGGGAUGGUUGUUCUAAAAGAAAAAUUGAAAAAUUGAAAGCUAGAUUUGAAGAGGUGGAAUAGGGAGGUUUUCGAGAAUGUCAAUCGGGAAGGGGAAUCUAUACAAAAGAAGAUUCAAGAGUUGGACGCAAGAGACAAUGAAAGUGAGUUAGAUGAGCUGGGGAGGGAGGAGAGGGACUUUUGCUAGUGGAACAAAGUCGAAACCUUUUUACACAAGAAGCGGUCUUGCACCAAAAAGCAAGACUAAAGUGGUUGAAACAAGGCGAUCUAAACACUAAAUUUUUCCACUCCUCAGUGAAGUGGAGGAGAAUGAGAAACGGGAUCAACGGGGUACCUUAUGUGUUCAAUAUACACAAGGGAUUUACCCUACUCUUUCUUUUACUUUAAUAACUUACACAAUAUCCUUUAUUAUAUUACAUAAAUGCUCUGAUUAUAUCACAAAGUACUCCGAUUUAUAUCCAUGAUAUUCAGAUUAUAUGAAAGGAUACUAUGAUAUGUCACAUCAAAACCUGGAGAAACUAGUGUUAGAGAUCCAAGUCCAUGAAGGCUUAUAAAUAGAUGACCACUCAUAGGGAGUAAUCUCAACUCGAAUUUUGGCACUAUACUCACUAUAUAAACAAAAUUUGAUGCUCUUACUGAGUUGAGCGUCAGAGUAUUUUUUGCAGGUGGAGCCCCCCUCAUUCCUUGGAAGUUGAAUCACUAGAGCUUAAAGGGAGACUACCCGAAGCCCACUCAAAUUUAGAUUGACCUCAUCUCGGCGAGAACUGUAAUAGUCUAUCAUUUGAUUGAUAUUGAUGCGGUAUAAAAAUCAUUUAUAUUGAUUCCUCGCAUAUAAAAUUAUUAAGAGAGUCUCUUAAAUAUUGAUUCCUCGCAUAUUUAUAAAAAUUUCUUAUCAUUAUUAUUAGACGUUGAUAGCAAUUAACAUUUCAAAUCUAUUCCAAGUAUUCAAAUACGUUAAGCAUUAUCAUUUGGGUCAGAAACUUAGAAUUACUUUCCAGUCAUAAGAGUUUCAAAGAUGAACUUCAAUCCCAUUUUUCCCAAUUGAAGCAACAAACUCUUUGACUUGUGUUUUUUAAUCAUUGCAAUCAUAACAAACUCCCAACAAACUUUGUUAUUUUGUUUUCUAUUUAAUGAAUAUUUUACUUGAUUAUUCAAGUGUUCCUUGUGAGUUCGAUAUUCGUCCUUAAGGAUAAAUUAUUACUUCUGACAACACGGUGCACUUGUUGUAUCACAUAUUUAUAAAAACUUCUUAUCAUUACGAUUAGACGUUGAUAACAAUUAACAUUUCAAAUCUAUUCCCAACAUUCAAAAUAUGUUAAACAUUAUCAUUUGGGUCAGAAACUCAAGAGUAUUUUCCAGUCAAGAUCAAUCUAGAUCAUAGAAACAAACAUUACAAAUAAAAUGACAAUAACAAUCAUCAAUCAAGAACAAAAUAUUAUAUUUAAAUAUCAACUCAAUACAUAAGAGGAUGAAUUUCAAUCCCAAUUUUCAAAUUGAAGCAACAAAUUCUUGGACUUGUUUUCUAUUUAAUCAUUAUCAUCAUAACAAACUCCCAACAAACUUUGUUAUUUUGUUUUUUAUUUAGUGAAUCUUUUACUUAAUUAUUCAAUUGUUCCUUGUAGUUCUGAAAAUACAAUGCCCUUAUUAAAAUAGUUAUCACAUCUUGUCUCAAUACAUGGGGAUUGGGAGAAGCCAAUAGGAGAUCAUGUUUCCUCUUCAUACACAAAAGCUCCCCAACCACUUAUCACGAAGGAGGAAGUGGCUUUGUACUAAAUCUGCACCAGAUUUCACUCCUCCUCCAGAAGUCGGUCAAGGCCAACCCACUUCUUGUCACUGAACAAAACUCGUAGAUCAAAGAUCAAGAUGCGUUCUGCUUCAAUUCUGAAUUUGCGACACCCUUUGCAAGGAACAUAUCGAGUUAUUAACUUUGAAAGUCAAUAAAAAUAUUAUUUGCAGCAUUUUGAGUUAUUAACUUAUUAAUGACAAUAAAUAUGGAAGUUUUUGUUCAAUAAAAAAUUGAAACGUAAAAAAUGGGAAAAUAUGAUAUAGAAUUGUACCUUAAAUGGCUCUUCCAAUGUUAGACGACUUCUAGGCAAAUUUAAAACAAUGAUGUGCUUUGGAUUAAAUUUUGGUGGGAAAGACUUUGAAGGACACUCUUCCCAGUCAAGAAGUCUUAAAUAAUUUGGUAAAUGUUCAAGUUCAGAUGAAAAUUGUGUGUUUCGAACAAUGAGAAUUCUGAGACAUUCCAUCUUCACCAACUCAGUACCACUCCAUUCUACUUUUUCUCGUUGAGGGGGAUCAAGCAUAAACCCUUGAAUCAUAUCACUUCCCUUUAACACAAGUACAAAGAAGCAACAUCAACUGCCUAUUAUCAGUAAUAUAAAAUACUAUAAUCUAUAAAUAAAAAACAAAAUAGAAUAAAAGAGUAGAGGAUUACGUAAUCUUUUGUUAGUAUUUCAAUAGCAUCUUCAUAAUACCAUAUUCUGCUACGUUUAGCAGGAUUUGGUGAUUCCUGCUUAACAAUCUCUCUACCCAUAUCUUGUAUUAGAUCAUGCAUCUUCAGGCAGCCAUUCUCGACAGUUAUGAGAGAUUUAUUAAGAAGUAAUUUCAUGUUGGUUGUUGGACAAAAUUCUUGAAGUAUCUUUUUCACAUAUUCCAUUCUCUCCCCUUUAAAGAAGCAAGCUAUGUCCAAGAAAAUUUGUUGGGCAUUAUCAUCCAAUCUAUCGUAGCUUAUUUGAAGCACAUCUUGAAUCUUUGUAUUUGGAGUCUUCUCAUAUUCUUUCAUUGCCAUUUCCCAAUCUUCUAAACUUUCAUGAAAAGCAGCUAAAUCAGAGCCUAUGACUUUUAAAGCCAGUGGAAGACCUUUGGCGUAAUCUACAGCACGCACAGACACAUCUUCAAAACCUGUUUUAGGAUAACUUUGUCUGAAGGCAUUCCAACAAAAUAGCUGUAAAGAAUGUUGGUCAUCAAGUUCCUUCAUUUCAUACGUAGGUUUAACUUGGUGAGCAAUUAGCACAUUUUCUUCCCUUGUGGUUAUAAUGAUCCUACUACCUGGACCAAACCAAUUACACUCUCCUGCCAACUUUUCUAACUGGUCUUUAUCACCAACGUCAUCAAGAACCAAAAGAACUUUCUUUUUCUGAAGCUUUUCUUUUAUUUCACCCAUUCCUUUAAUUGUACUUUCCAAUUUAGUUUCCAACUCCUCAAACAUCUUAGAUAAAAGUGUCUUUUGUAGAUCUUCCAUGCCAUUGAUUCUGUUUGAUUUUUCUCUAACAUCGGAAAGAAAACUUGCUGCAUCAAAGUGUUGCACAAUUUUGUCAUACAAAGCUUUGGCAAGUUCCGUUUUUCCAAUUCCACCAAGUCCAUAUAUGCCCAACAUAUUUACAGUUUUAUCAUCAGGCUUCAUGUCUAAAAGUGACAUAACUUCUUCUAUGCAAGCCUCAAGUCCAAUAGGGUUUUGACCACUAUAUAAAGGUUUAGGAAUUAUAUAUUCAUGGACCUUCUCAACAAUUUCUUCAAUACAAUAGCUUUCAUCAUCCCUAUAAGAGUAGAAUGUAUUAAUUAAUUAUUUGUUUGAUAUCAUGAUUUUUUUUAUUGUACUAAGUGGUGAUUAUUGUACUAGAUUUUUUUUUAUCGGCAAUAAAAAAUAAAUAAAAUAAAAAUAGAACCACUUCAGGGGUGGUUUAACCCUUAUACAUAAAAAAGCUAAACCAGCUCCAACUAACGUCUUCCAAAAACCAACCCAACUCUUCUACCCCUUACAAAACCAAGCAAAAAACCUCAAGAAACUAACCUUGUACACUCCAAAGGAGCCAAACACCAGAAUAAGAAAACGAAACUAACCGGGAAUUUGUUGAAACCCAAGACCAAGCCUUUACCUGUGCCAACGCAAAGAGCUCUUUCUCGUCUGCCACUCCUCUAUUAAAAAUUAUACGAUUCCUGUGGCUCCAAAUCUCACUUAUCACCCCAACCCAAAUCGUGUUCCAAGCAACCAGACCCGUCUCCGAAGGUAAGCACAAUCUAAAUUGAUCAAAGUUGCACCUUGGUUCAAUAUGAGUCACAAACUGGAUUCCUAGCCACUUAAAACAUAAACACCAAACUCGCCAAGCAAACGAACAACCAAAGAACAGAUGGCUACUCGACUCCUCCUCCUUCCCGCACAACACGCACCUCAAGCUUUCUAAUCGAACCCCUCUUCUACUAAGAUUGACCCUGGUAGCUAGCUUGUUUUUCAACACCCUCCAAGCCAAAACCAUUGCAGAAGGAAUUGCUUUACUCCUCCACAACUUCCUAAGCUCCUGCGAAGAAACCGCUUCAAAAUCCUUCCUGAUAAGGUUGUAAGCAGAGCUAACGGUGUAAGACUGAACACCCCCACCCUUCCAAAUCCACCUAUCAGUCUCUCCAAGAACAACCUCAACCCCAAGCAGGAGCUGACUUAAUCGAUCCGCCGCCGGUUUCUCCCAUUCGAAAAAAGGCCUUCUCCAAUCAAGUCCCUAGACCCAUCUCCCAUCAGACCAAGACCCAAGAUCCGACAGUUUUGCAUGUUUGUUAGAGCUGAUUGAGAAAAGUCGUGGAAAAACAUUCUUCAACGCCUCACCCAUCAACUAGCUAUCCUUCCAGAAACAAAUGUCCAUCCCAUUCCCAAUCUUCCACUCAAAACUGUCUUCGAAACAUCUCCCCCACCCCUUCGAAUACCAAACUUCCUUCAAAUCCUUCCACCAAAGAGAACAACUCUUACCAUUACUUGCCACCCCCAGAUCUCUCCACCCCCCGUACUUAGAGAAAAUGAUGUCCUUCCAAAGUCCUACCUCAACCGAACCCAACCUCCAAAUCCACUUUCCCAACAAAGCCCCCCAAACUCACGAGGUUUACACACCAGGUUNNNNNNNNNNNNNNNNNNNNNNNNNNNNNNNNNNNNNNNNNNNNNNNNNNNNNNNNNNNNNNNNNNNNNNNNNNNNNNNNNNNNNNNNNNNNNNNNNNNNAGAAAAUCCCUUUGCAACUUGAUCAACUUACUUGCCACCCUAGUAGGCAAUCUGAACAAAGACAUAUAAAAUAACGGAAUAGCAGAAAGCACAAACCUAAUCAGACAAAUCCUCCCAGCCAUCAACAAACUUCUUCCCUUCCACCUGCUUAACCUAGCCUGCACUUUCUCAAUCACCCUGUUCCAAAACGUACCGCACUUGUGACUCCCUCCAACAGGCAGACCCAAGUAAAUGAACGGAGGGGCCAUCGUAUCACACCCAAGAAUCGCUGCAAAUCUCUGAAGUGUGGCCUGGUCCAUCCCCGUCCCUCCAAUCCUACUCUUCGCAAAAUUAACCCUUAACCCAGAAGAUAGCUCGAAACACUACAGGAUCGCCCUGAUAUUAAAGACACUUUUGGUAUUUGCUUCACAGAAGAACAAAGUGGCGUCCGCAUACUGUAACAUAUUUACCUUUACUUUACUCUUCCCAACCUCCAAACUGUCAAUCAACUUCUUUUCCUCUGCUACCCUUGUCACCCCAGCUAAACCCUCCGCCACAAUAAGGAAGAGAAAAGGGGCAAGCGGGUCGCCUUGACGUAGACCCUUUCUAGGAAAGAACUCCCUAGUUGGGCUUCCGUUUACAAGGACCGACACCGAAACUGACUCCAGGCAUCCCUUUAUCCAUCGAAUCCACCGAGCACAGAAACCCAACCUUCUUAACAUAUAAUAUAAAAAUUCCCAUUUCACCGAAUCGUAUGCCUUCUCGUAGUCGACUUUAAAGCAGAUACUUUGUUUUCUCUUUCUCUUGUACUCCUCAAGAANNNNNNNNNNNNNNNNNNNNNNNNNNNNNNNNNNNNNNNNNNNNNNNNNNNNNNNNNNNNNNNNNNNNNNNNNNNNNNNNNNNNNNNNNNNNNNNNNNNNUUCCAAUCACCUUUUUCAGGCGCAAGGAGAGCGCCUUUGAGAUGAUCUUAUACAGGCAACCUACUAAUGAGAUAGGUCUAAACUCCCCCAACUGUUGAGGAUUUUCAACUUUUGGAAUCAAACAAAGAAACGACGCAUUUGAUACUCUUGGCCAACAUCCAAAAUCAGCAAAGUCCUUUACUGCGUUCAUCACAUCCUUCUUCACAAUGUCCCAACAAGAUUUUAAAAAACAAAAGUUAAACCCGUCGGGACCAAGACUUUUUGAACUAUCACACCCCCAGAUCGCAUCUCUUACCUCAUCUUCCGAGAAAACGCUGACUAACAUAGCGUUAUCUGCUUCUGAUAUGGUAUUGAACCUGACAUUAUCCAAAGUGACCUGACAAACAUCGUUCCGGGCAAACCUUUCUUCAAAGUACUUACGAACCUUAUCCUUUACCUCCUCCUUAUCAUCACACCAUUUAUUAUUGUCGAAAAAUCCAUGUAACUGAUUCCUUGCCCUCCUCCACUUAACCGCAGAAUGAAAGAACUUUGUAUUAUGAUCCCCCUGCUUUAUCCAAUUCUGCUUUGCUUUCUAAAAUAAGAUCGCCUCUUGUUUGGAUCUGGACUCAGAUAGUUGAGCAAAUAGGGACUUUCUUUCAUCCUUUUCUGAUUCCAACAACCCGUCUUCGUCGUCACGAGAAUCUAACUCGUCUAACCUUUUCUAGAUUUCCUUACUAGCCUGAUCUCCGAAUACUUCCCUAUUCCACACCUUUAGGUCUGCUUUUAACUUUUUCAGCUUCUCUUUAAACACAAAAAUUCCCCCUCCCGUCACCUUGUAAGCAGACCAGCUCGAACUCACAAACUCCUUGAACCUGUGAUCCUUCAGCCAAACAUUCAAAAACCUAAACGGCUUCGGACCCCAAUCCACUGACACCUCCUUCAGAAUAACAGCACAAUGAUCUGAGAUUGAUCUAUUGAAGACAAAUUGUUGGCUGUUAGGCCACACCUCCAACCACUCCUUGGAGACCAGCACCCUGUCAAUCCUGCUUUUCACCAAACCAUUGGGUUUGAACCAAGUAAACUUCCUGCCCACCAACGGAAUAUCAACCAAUCCGAGCACGACACCAAACUCUUCCUUUCCUCCUGCCUUCUUAUACAAUUAAAGUCUCCAAUGAUGCACCAAGCCUUCGAUAACUGACCUUGUCUGAAACAACUGAUCUCGUUCCACAUCUCCUUCUUCUCUCGAAAAGAUCCUGAACAAUAAAUGUUCACGAUGGUUACUUGGGUUCCAAAACCCCUCUUCCAAACCCCUUCUAACACUGAAAAGUUCCUACCAUUCUUGAAACUGGACAACUGAAAAACCUUAUUGCUCCACAUCGUAAUCACCCUACCUGCUUUAUUAACUGCUUUGUUUUCCACCCAAUCCACUUCGUUAGUUCCCCAAAAAAGACACACCUUUUCCCUACUAAAAUCUGAACACUUUGUCUCUUGUAAACACGCCAUGUUCACCUGCUCCCUACUGAUCAAAUCCCUGACAUAAUUCUUUUUUACCGCCCCGCCUACCCCUCUGAUAUUCAGACUAAGAAUCUUCAUUAACAACCUUGCUCCUCUCUUUCCACAUUCUUCUCGUAGUCACCCCGCCUUGAUUAGAUAACGAAUAAAUACCAUCUAAAACUACCUCUUCUCGAUCGGCGAGCGAAAACCCAGCUUCUUUCCCUACUCCCCAGACACUUGCAGCCAAAUUCUUAUCUGUUUUCACCCAAAAAAUCAUGUUACAAUUCUCAAUUGCGCUAUCAGAAGUGAAAAGUGAAUUCGACGAGCUGCCUGUUUGAUGAACCAAAAACACUUGUUCCACUGAGGACUGUCUUCCUACGACUUCUCCAUCCAAACCCGUCACCCUGCCCUCCGUAUCUCCGUUGUUGCCUCCACCUUCCACUUCAUCUUCCAUACCUGCCCCCAAAUCCUCUAAUAGUCCUCCUGGAGGGAGGGCACACCCACCAUCUCUCGACUUUGACAUCUCUGACCUCCUUGCCCCCUCUGCAUCGACCAACUUUUCAGGAUCUACCAGUUCACUGUCAUUCAAACCUUGGACUACUGGAGACUUUGGGAUGUCCUUUACAGUUGCUACUGAACUCCCGUCGACUCCGUCUCUAAUCACACUGGUCCCAGACUGUUCCAAAUCAUUCAAAGAAGGACAUAUCCCUACCGAAUUAGCGACCCUACUCACUGAACUCGUCUGUCUUGAGACGCUCCCGACUUCUCCUUCUUCUUCUUCGUGACAACCAUCCUGGACACUCAAAUUCUCUUUGCACGGCUUCAUAAAUGCACUUUGGCACUUUAAAUCCCCCACCACUCCUUUCACACUUAGAACUCCAUUUUCCACGCACUUAAUCAUAGGGGGACACACUUUUAAAGAAGCGAGCCCACCAUCAUUAAUUUCCUGCAUUCCUACUUCUUGAAAUGGCUCUUGAGGUGGCGCUUGAAAAGACGCUCCAGCCCUCACAUUCCCUCUCAACAUGCACCUACUUUCACUUACCCCUCCAUUACUCCUUGCCUUAUCAUUCGCUGACUUGGACUCCUUGGAACUAGCCACCUCCACGUAGGAAUCCACUAUCUCUAUCUUUGAACAGCUAAGAGAACCGUGCCCACCCACUAACUCCACUCUCUUUCUCAAAGAAAUACCGUGCACAUUCAUUGGCCCUCUUAAAUUAUCUUGAAACCAUCCUUCACGCCCCUUACCAAGACAAACCGGGUCCACCAUGCCCUGGACCGUCUCUUCCAACUCCAAGCCUCCUUCCCCGACGGCACCCACACCUCCAUCUCCGGCCAACCCAAGCUCCGACCCCACUGAAUCGCACAAGCUUGCACCUACGCUUCCGUCAUCGGAGUUAGCUUCGGUGUCUACCUCUAAAGCUCCGCCAUUCCACUUGCCAAGACUCUGCUCCGGGACGGACAUCUCUUCAACAAAGGCAACCUUACAUGACCUACCAUUGAUGCACAACUCCUUCUCCAUAUUGACUGUUGAUCUUACCGAUGUUUUAACUCUAAACCGAGCAAACUCCACUGUUUCUCUUCUCUCAGUUACUUCGUCGACCUCCAUCACCUCUCCCACCACUACCCCUAUUUUGGAAAAACUAUGUUUGCACCAGAACUGUAGCGGGAUUCCACUGCAUCGUAUCCAUGCAAAACGUUCUUUUAGUUCGAAAGAACCAUCCCAGGGUGUAACCGCCGAGAACGCUUCGUCGAACCAAGACCUGUUGUCUGCAAUGAUCUUCUUCAGACUUCCUCCAUCAUCGCAAGACAGCAGAACGAACCUACCACCAAGAUAUCUUACUUUGACUAGGCUGAAACCUCCCAACACAAAGCUCUCCUUAAUCACUUGCAUGCUUGGAAGCUCUUUCAAACUACCAACGUAGCAUCUACUAACCAAUCGUCUUGUUCUACCUCCACUGUAACCUGAGAAUCAACGUCGCCCCCCAAAGAGCUACCCACAAUCUCGCCUGUUCCAAGCUUUCCUGCCCCCCCCCCCCCCCCGAAACCACUUGAGCGAACGAAACCUGCUCCGUUUGCUUCCCCUUCCCACUCGUUGUGCUCGUCAUUGGGUUCCUCCCUAAUCUGGACCCUUCAUUCCUUUGCUUCCUUGAACCAUCCUUCCUCUUAUAUUUGGGAAGGUUCACCUGCAUCUUCCAAGUGCCAAUCCAGAGUGCACUCAAUUCUCUUUCCAGGGAAAGAACAUCCUUCACACCCUGGAACCUUACAAAACCAAACUUCUUAUUCCUUGCAUUGAGCUUUCUUGAAACAAAGACAUCCAUAACCCUUCCCCACCUUUGGAAAACCUUCCAAAGAUCUCUCUCCAUGAAAUGCUCGGGGAAGUUAGUAAAGAAAAACGAAGUGUCCGCCAUUGUCGAAAGUUAACAAACCGCCUUUACUUACUCCGACCAUCGUGUUUCUCCGGUUACUAUUUUAUUGUACUAGAUAGUAAGCAAUGAUACUAAUAGCAAGUAGCACAAAAGAACAAUGAUUACACAUUAUACAAAAUUUACUGGAGAUGAAAAAGUUAGAGAAAUUUUAUUCUAAACAAAAAAUUCAAUAAUUUAUAAAGAAAAAUACCUAAAUAUAAUAUAAUAUUCAAAUAAAGAAUGAUUUUUUCCACUUUGGAUUUUUAUUAGUUUUUUAUCUUUUAAAUUAUACUUUUUAAUAUCCAGAAUUAUACUUUGUGACUAACAAAAUCAAUUAACACCCUGAAAAAAAUCUAAAGUUUAAGAUGUAGAAUAUUAUAUAUAACAAACUACACAUGAUAAAAACAAUAUUGCAUCCCAUUAUAAUUAAGAUGUAGAAUAUUAUAUAUAACAAACUACACGUGAUAAAAAUAAUAUUGCAUACCAUAAAGUAUAUUACUUGAAAUCAUUUUUGUUUGUGAAAAGUAAAGUCCUACAUAAGAUUAACUUAUUUUUGGUUUUUAACCUUUUAUAAAAGGCUAUAAUUAUUUUUUAACUAAAUUAAUUUAUUUUUGGAUGAGAGAAAAAUUAAGAGAGGAAAAAUAUUUUUUCUUUUAAAUUUUCUUACCAAUUGUAUUUUUUUUAUAAGAGAAGUAAAGUCUUACAUCUUAAUAGAUGAUAUAUGUGGAUGAUAAGUUAGUAAUAGUUUCCAACAAAGUUCGAAUAUGAGAAUUGAAGGGCAUUUGAUAAUAAGAAUUUAAGAUCAACAAUCUAAGAUUUUAGAAAUACUCACCAAUAUAGAAAAGAGAAAUGUUUUACUUCCUUAGAAUAAAAUAUUUCAAUCAACAACAUAAAAAAUUUAUGAUAAGAGGUAAAGCAAUACUCACCUGGGAGCAUGGUGCUUAGAAAAUCUAAGGAGGUGUUGAAGGAACCCAAGAGAACAACAUGGUACUCAUUGAGAAAAUAUUGUUAGAGUUUAUGGUGUUCAAUAAACACAAUUGAUGAUGGAAGUGAGAAACAACGAAAGAAAGACAAUCGAGACUCUCUAUGCUCUGUGUGAAAGAACCCAUUACAACAACGUUCAUUGAGGUAACAACUCAUACCAUUAACAACUUUCCAUUUGACUUUGCUAUUAAUAAUAGCAAUAGACUCUUUUGCUUACGAAAUGGAAGUGCAGAGGAUAUUAGGUUAUGUGAAUUAGGUUAGGAAAUCAGAAUUACAUUUAUAGGGUAGGAUGAAAAUAUCUUAAAGAUGAUUGAGAAAAUGAAGGGAAGAGACUGCGAAAUGAAAAUAUUAAAGGGAGAGAAGAGACAAUCCAAUUGAUGAAGAUAAUAUGUUUAAACAUUGUAGGGGAAUUGAUUAAUAAGGAGGAGGGUGGGGUAGUGUGCUAACAAGAAACCAAAUUGGAAAUAGUCAAUAAAGAAAGAUGCUACAAUAUGGGAAACGAUGACAUAAAAUGGGAACAUUUUGCAGUUGUAAAUGGAGUACAAGGAAUUUUAACUAUGUGGCCUAAGGAUACUUUCAUAUGUGAAACAUUGGUUAGAAACACAAGUUUUGUAAGGGUUAAGGAAAGGUACAAAAAGAAUAAUAUGUCAAUAGUAAUACUAAAUGUGUAGUUCCCUUAGAGAAAUGUUAGAGAAAUGUGACUAAAUUAUGUCUUGAAGCAAAAUGAACUUUUUUAUCUUUAACAAGUUUUACGUCCAAUUAUGAUAGAUAUUGAUUUGCGCUCAAAUUUUUUUUUUAGAUUCGUGGGUAAUUAUUUAUGGACACAAAUAUGUCAGUAAAUGUCUAACAUUAUCUAUUGGUACAAUUCGUCGAUAAUAAAAUAAUAUCGACGAACAUAAAUCUGUCAAUAAAUUUUCAUUAGUAAUUCAAUAAUUUUUUGUAGUAGGUGGUUUUAAGAGAAAAAUUAAAAAGAUUUAAGCAUGACUUAAAAGUUUGGAAUAAAGAGGAAUUUGGUAAUGUAAACCAAAUCAAGCAAACCACUAUAACUCAUAGAGGUGAUUUUGACAAAAUGGAUUACUCAAAUGAUCUAUAUGAGAAAGGAAUGAUGGAAAGGAAGAAACUCUUUAGUGAACUCAAACUCAUAGACUAGCAACAUAAGUCCUUGGAGAAAUAAAUUCAAUGUUAGGCUAAUGAACAUUAUCUUCUAUUUCUCCUAGUGAUAAUAUAGUCCUAACAAGACAAAAUAGAAAUUAAGAAAGCACUAGGCAUGUUGUGUGGAAUAUGUGCAACAAGUAUGUUGGAGUAAGUACUGCUACUCAAAAUCAUGUAAAGUUGAACUUUCAACAAUUCUACUUGUCGAGAAUGAAUGACAAAGGAAAUAGGAUAUGGGGGUGUAUGUGGAUAGAGAUCUUUUUUUUGGAUUAUAUAGAAUCAAAGGAAUAAAAAUAUCUUUAAGAAUGAGACCGUAUAUGAAGAGAUAUUUUUUUUACACAAAUAAAAGUAUAAGCUUGGACAAGGAAUAGAUCUUUAUCAACUUUCACAUAAAACCCCUAUAUAAAUAAUAUGGUAUACUCGCACAAUGGGCAUAUGCAAUUGUUAUCAAUUAUAAGUUUUUUUCAAGUUUGAGUCACUAAGAGUUGAGAUUUAUCGAGUACCAUAGACAUCAACGAUGUAAAACCUUAUGUACGACAUAUGUAAAAAAACUAAACUUUAAAUAAGGAGUGACAACAAUUAGUAUAGGUUUAUGGUAAAUUCUGAUACUGAGAUGUGAAGUGUUAUUAAGAGGAUCCUUAGAUACUUCAGAGGAACCUCAGACAUUGUAUUAUGUUUUGAAAUAUCAGAAUUAGAUAUGAUCUUUAUUAAAUGAAGUCUAUUAGUGACUAUGUGUGUAUACUUAUAGGUGGAGCAAUAUGUUAAUUAUUCAAGUUGGAUGAUUUUAUAAUUUUGUCUAGUACAUAAAUUGAAAACAUAAAAGGCAUCCAAGCAUACAUGAAAGCUAUCUAAAUUCAAAGGUAUACAUGAAAGCUAUCUAAAUUCAAAGGUUAAUUGAUGAACUAAGACAUAAAGCAACAAAAAAAAAAAUAUUCUAAUAGUGAAAAUGCAUUUACACAUAACAAUAAUAGUGAAAAUGUAUUCUAUUCGAUAGAUAAUAUACUAUUUUUUUAUUUUAGAUUUAUAAGGUGGUUAUAUUAUAAUUUUAUUUCUUUAAUUUUAUAAAGUUACUUUAUUAAUUUUAUUUUAGUUGUAAAUAAUUAUCCCAUAAAAUACAUGAUUUUUUCGAAAUAUGGGAUGAAAAAGAAAUAACAUUGAAUGGUUUGUUAUACAUACCCGGUGGUAAUAAUAUGCCUCCCUGGGAAGUCAAAAGCUUGAGACAAGGCUGACCUCCAAGCCUGCAUUUUCUGUGAUUCUUUUCCAAUCUCAUGUUCAUGUGCCUUCAUGUGUUUUCCGAAGCUGUUUCUCUCGUGCCGUAUAUCUGAGGGAUCUACAUGGUAAAACACUGGGUAAACAAGCUGCUUCUUCUCCUUCAUUUUGCUGCGUUCUAUGAUCCUAACAAGUUCAUCCAGACACCGUGUAGAAGAUGCAUAGUUCUCAGAAAACACAACGAUGAAAAUCUUAGAUUCUUCAAUGGCCUUCGACAGAGCAGGUGGAAGACUUUCCCCUAUCCUCAUAUUCCUAUCAUCAUUGAAACUUUUUAUUCCCCUCCUACCCAACUCUCUACGCAGAUGCCCUAUAAAAGUGUACCUUGUAUCUUCCCCUCUAAAACUGAUGAACAAGGAAAUUUGUUUGGCCUUAUCAUCCAAUUUAUCGUAGCUUAUUUUAAGCACAUCUUGAAUCUUUUUAUUUGGAGUCCUCUCAUAUUCUUCCAUUGCCAUUUCCCAAUCUUCUAAACUUUCAUGAAAAGUAGCUAAAUCAGAGCCUAUCCUUUUUAAAGCCAGUGGAAGACCUUUGGCGUAAUCUACAGCACGCAGAGACACAUCUUCAAAACCUGUUUUAGGAUAACUUUGUCUGAAGGCAUUCCAACAAAAUAGCUCUAAAGAAUGUAGGUCAUCAAGUUCCUUCAUUUCAUACAUAUUUUUAACUUGGUGAGAAAUUAGCACAUCUUUUUCCCUUGUCGUUAUAAUGAUUCUACUACCUGGACCAAACCAUUUACCCCCUCCUGCCAAAUUUUCUAACUGGUCUUUAUCACCAACGUCAUCAAGAACCAAAAGAACUUUCUUUUUCUGAAGCUUUUCUUCUAUUUCAGUCAUUCCUUUACUUGUACUUCCCAAUUCAGUUUCCAACUCCUCAAACAUCUCAGAUAAAAGUGUCUUUUGUAGAUCUUUAAUGCCAUUGAUUCUGCUUGAUUUUUCUCUAACAUCGGAAAGAAAACUUGCAGCAUCAAAGUGUUGCAAAAUUGUGUUAUACAAAGCUAUGGCAAGUUCCGUUUUUCCAAUUCCACCAAGUCCAUAUAUGCCCAACAUAUUUACAGUUUUAUCAUAAGGCUUCAUUUCCAAAAGGGACAUAACUUCUUCUAUGCAGGCGUCAAGUCCAAC